This 66-nucleotide transfer RNA is filed under the name China mantispoides. RNAcentral describes it as "tRNA-Thr". It matches the Rfam family "tRNA". Rfam says of the family: Transfer RNA (tRNA) molecules are approximately 80 nucleotides in length. Their secondary structure includes four short double-helical elements and three loops (D, anti-codon, and T loops). Lineage: Eukaryota; Metazoa; Arthropoda; Insecta; Orthoptera; Chorotypidae. The record is from RNAcentral.
GUUUUAGUAGUUUAAAUAAAAACAAUGGUCUUGUAAACCAUCAAUAAGAUUUUUGUCUUUUAAAGC